AUGUUUCCAUUCCAUCAUAAAGAACAUUUUAUUCAAAUCAAUGUCCAUUCAUUCAUACAAUUGGCAUUUACGUCAUUUACAAAAGAAAACACAAAAAGUACAAGUUUUUUGAAAGUUGACUUUUGAUUAACUGUUGACUUUUUGGUCAACCAGUUGACCAAAGUCAACUAACAUGUUUUUGAUCCACUAAAACUCAUUAUAUAUUUAUCAUCCUUGCAUUCCAUGAUAUUCCAUGUUCAUUGACUUCAUGAAUAAGAAACCUUUUUUUUGUGAAAUUUGCCAUGCCUUGAAGAUUGCUUUGCAACCAUGUCCAUACCUAUAAAACCAUACCAAGUUCAUCAUGUCAUUUAAGCCAAUAAGCAAUACAUUCAUGAUUCACAAAAUUGCAAAUGACAUAAGGAUGCAUACCAUGUAACAAUGCAAGCUUAGCAACCAAAACCACAAGACCUUAACUUUCCACCACCACUAAGCCAUGAUACUUUAAGCAAUAUACAGCCAAACCAAUUCCUAUUAUUCUACACAUACCUGACCUGCAUCAGGACCUGAACAUUCCAUACAUUGCUGCAUUCAACACAUCCUGAUGCUACAGAAGCACAACCCUACAUCAUGGUCAUCAUUU
Molecule: long non-coding RNA, 619 nt
Filed under: Lathyrus oleraceus (garden pea)
Lineage: Eukaryota; Viridiplantae; Streptophyta; Magnoliopsida; Fabales; Fabaceae
Description: Pisum sativum (pea) long non-coding RNA (PSAT_LNC012367)
Source: RNAcentral